ACGCUGGCGGCGUGCUUAACACAUGCAAGUCGAACGAGGAUCAUGGAGAGCUUGCUUGAAGUGAUCCGAGUGGCGGACGGGUGAGUAACGCGUGAACAAUCUGGUCUCACACAGGGGAAUAACGCAUCGAAAGAUGUGCUAAUACCGCAUAGGACCACGGCAUCGCAUGGUGCUGAGGUGAAAGACGCAAGUCGGUGUGAGGUGAGUUCGCGUCUGAUUAGAUAGUUGGUGAGGUAACGGCCCACCAAGUCAACGAUCAGUAGCCGACCUGAGAGGGUGAUCGGCCACAUUGGGACUGAGACACGGCCCAGACUCCUACGGGAGGCAGCAGUGGGGAAUAUUGGGCAAUGGGCGCAAGCCUGACCCAGCAACGCCGCGUGAAGGAAGAAGGUUUUCGGAUCGUAAACUUCUGUCCUAUGAGAAGAUAGUGACGGUAUCAUAGGAGGAAGCCCGGCUAACUACGUGCC
Molecule: ribosomal RNA, 467 nt
Filed under: uncultured bacterium
Lineage: Bacteria
Description: bacterial SSU rRNA
Rfam family: Bacterial small subunit ribosomal RNA
Source: RNAcentral